Long non-coding RNA from Pleuronectes platessa (European plaice), 789 nucleotides. RefSeq lists it as uncharacterized. The record is from RefSeq and is a predicted model, not a curated record. The transcript is spliced from 2 exons. Lineage: Eukaryota; Metazoa; Chordata; Actinopteri; Pleuronectiformes; Pleuronectidae.
CUCAGUUUCUUGCAGCGAUGUUUGAGCCUCGAGGACGUGGAUCGUCCAUGUCCUCAACGUUCUGCCGUUUCUGUUUGAACUGAAUCGAGCAAGGAACCGACGUAGAUGAUGAGGGGCCGUGACUCGGGUGGUCACGUGGGGGACAUGGACGCUUCCUUUUCGGUCAAAGACGAGAUCCUGGAGGUGAACGUGGAGAAGGGGGCGUGUCUCAGUCUGGAUCAGGUGACCCACCUGUUCGGGUCCUCCCACACAUGAGGACAAUUUGGAGGCGAUGGCAGCGCCAUCUAUAUUACAACAACUGAAUUACAGCACCUGAACUCAGCUUCUUUACCAAAGCACAGCUGUGGCCCCUGGUCCAAUCAGAACACAGAACCUGAUGACGCUGUUCACAGUUUGUUUUGAUUAAGAUUCUCAGAACAAAAUAUCAAACCUAGUUCAAAGAGAAAAAAUAAAGGUCCAGUUCAGUUUGUUAAGUUUGAAAUCUUAUCAAAGUGAUUUUCAAUUCAUUGUUGUUUAUAUUAACGUUGUGUUGUAUAAUAUUAUUUGAUGUUAUUACAUAUUAAUUAAUAGUAUUGAUGCUAAUUAAUGUUAAUGUUGAUUAAAGACAUCAGUUGUGCUUCCUGUGCUUUAAUAGCAGGUUAUUAGAACUUUACAGUUUUUAAACUGUGAUUCUAAAAAUCAAUGACAAACUGAUCAAUCACAGUUUAACUUUAACCAUCAACAUCAUUUCAGGUGAACCUGAAACUAAAUGACAGAAACUGUUGAUUAUUAAAGAACAAGUUUUUUUUA